GACGAACGCUGGCGGCGUGCUUAACACAUGCAAGUCGAACGGAAAGGCCCUGCUUUUGUGGGGUGCUCGAGUGGCGAACGGGUGAGUAACACGUGAGUAACCUGCCCUUGACUUUGGGAUAACUUCAGGAAACUGGGGCUAAUACCGGAUAGGAGCUCCUGCUGCAUGGUGGGGGUUGGAAAGUUUCGGCGGUUGGGGAUGGACUCGCGGCUUAUCAGCUUGUUGGUGGGGUAGUGGCUUACCAAGGCUUUGACGGGUAGCCGGCCUGAGAGGGUGACCGGCCACAUUGGGACUGAGAUACGGCCCAGACUCCUACGGGAGGCAGCAGUGGGGAAUAUGGCACAAUGGGCGGAAGCCUGAUGCAGCAACGCCGCGUGCGGGAUGACGGCCUUCGGGUUGUAAACCGCUUUCGCCUGUGACGAAGCGUGAGUGACGGUAAUGGGUAAAGAAGCACCGGCUAACUACGU
RNAcentral lists this ribosomal RNA (467 nucleotides) under uncultured bacterium. Its description in RNAcentral is "partial 16S ribosomal RNA". It matches the Rfam family "Bacterial small subunit ribosomal RNA", at positions 28 to 506 of the family's 1533-position model. The record is from RNAcentral.